This 301-nucleotide ribosomal RNA is filed under the name uncultured bacterium. Its description in RNAcentral is "partial 16S ribosomal RNA". It matches the Rfam family "Bacterial small subunit ribosomal RNA", at positions 509 to 807 of the family's 1533-position model. The record is from RNAcentral.
CAGCAGCCGCGGUAAUACGUAGGUGGCAAGCGUUGUCCGGAAUGAUUGGGCGUAAAGCGUCUGUAGGUGGCUCUUCAAGUCCGCCGUCAAAUCCCAGGGCUCAACCCUGGACAGGUGGUGGAAACUACCAAGUUGGAGUACGGUAGGGGCAGAGGGAAUUUCUGGUGUAGCGGUGAAAUGCGUAGAUAUCGGAAGGAACACCUGUGGCGAAAGCGGCUCACUGGACCAUUUCUGACGCUGAUGCACGAAAGCUAGGGGAGCAAACAGGAUUAGAUACCCCAGUAGUCCCUGUCUCUUAUAC